GUGAUUGAAAUUCCUUUAUGGUGAGAGGUGACCGAUUCACCCCUUGCUGA
This 50-nucleotide small nucleolar RNA is filed under the name Pyrobaculum arsenaticum DSM 13514. RNAcentral's name for it is "PARsR57". The record is from RNAcentral. Lineage: Archaea; Thermoproteati; Thermoproteota; Thermoprotei; Thermoproteales; Thermoproteaceae.